RNAcentral lists this ribosomal RNA (425 nucleotides) under Verrucomicrobiota bacterium. Its description in RNAcentral is "Verrucomicrobia bacterium partial 16S ribosomal RNA". It matches the Rfam family "Bacterial small subunit ribosomal RNA", at positions 355 to 776 of the family's 1533-position model. The record is from RNAcentral. Lineage: Bacteria; Pseudomonadati; Verrucomicrobiota.
UGAGGAAUAUUGGUCAAUGGGCGAGAGCCUGAACCAGCCACGUCGCGUGAAGGAAGACUGACCUUACGGUUUGUAAACUUCUUUUGUAGAGGGGUAAUGGCAGAUACGUGUAUUUGCGUGAAAGUACUCUACGAAUAAGCAUAGGCUAACUCCGUGCCAGCAGCCGCGGUAAUACGGGGGAUGCGAGCGUUAUCCGGAAUUAUUGGGUUUAAAGGGUGCGCAGGUGGCUAAUCAGGUCAGUGGUGAAAAGCUAUGGCUCAACCAUGGUCUUGCCAUUGAAACCGUAUAGCUAGAGAGGAGACGAGGUAGGCGGAAUGUGUGGUGUAGCGGUGAAAUGCAUAGAUAUCACACAGAACUCCGAUUGCGAAGGCAGCUUACCAGGCUUUAUCUGACACUUAGGCACGACAGCGUGGGGAUCAAACAGG